This 25-nucleotide non-coding RNA is filed under the name Rattus norvegicus (Norway rat). Lineage: Eukaryota; Metazoa; Chordata; Mammalia; Rodentia; Muridae. The record is from RNAcentral.
UGUCAAGAAGAUGGCGGAAGGAUGU